CUAGAAUGGUCUGUUGAGCAGAGAUAGAAUUAUUCAGAUUAUUACUAUUUAGAGCACUGAUGUUUACUAUAAAACUGUUACCACUUUUUUUUUUGGUUAGGAUUAAAAAAAAAAAAAAAAAAAUCAGUCACUUUUUUCCUGAACCUAUUAAACUUUGAUGCUUUUGGAACAAGUUUUGCUACAGCUUCUUGUGUUUGUUGGGCCACAUCCUUAUCACUCAUUCUGCACGCAUCCAGUUGACACCAACAAGGAGAGCACAACAGGAUUCUCGAACUCUCUGGGAAUGCUUGUGAAAUUCAGCUUCUGAAAAGGAUUUGUGGCAUAAUAUCUCAGCUGGAGAUACUAGACAUGAAAAGAUACCUGCCUGAGCACCAUUGCAUUUCCCUAUCUCAAUUAGAUAGUUCCCUAUCUCAUUUCUUUAUCAUCUUGUAGUGAAUGACUGUUACAAAAAAGGAUAUUUGAGCAUUUGCUGAAAGGAAUCCUGGUGGAUUCUGUUUAAUUAGAAGGAAUGGACAU
This 516-nucleotide long non-coding RNA is filed under the name Anas platyrhynchos platyrhynchos (common mallard). RNAcentral's name for it is "lncRNA (ENSAPLG00000020018.1)". The record is from RNAcentral. Lineage: Eukaryota; Metazoa; Chordata; Aves; Anseriformes; Anatidae.